GGGGAAUUUUCCGCAAUGGGCGAAAGCCUGACGGAGCAAUACCGCGUGAGGGAGGAAGGCUCUUGGGUUGUAAACCUCUUUUCUCAGGGAAUAAGAACUGAAGGUACCUGAGGAAUAAGCAUCGGCUAACUCCGUGCCAGCAGCCGCGGUAAUACGGAGGAUGCAAGCGUUAUCCGGAAUGAUUGGGCGUAAAGGGUCCGCAGGUGGCCUUGUAAGUCUGCUGUUAAAGAGUGAGGCUUAACCUCAUAAAAGCAGUGGAAACUACAAAGCUAGAGUGCGUCCGGGGUAGCAGGAAUUCCUGGUGUAGCGGUGAAAUGCGUAGAGAUCAGGAAGAACACCGGUGGCGAAAGCGUGCUACUAGGCCGUAACUGACACUGAGGGACGAAAGCUAGGGGAGCGAAUGGGAUUAGAUACCCCGGUAGUCCUAGCCGUAAACGAUGGAUACUAGGCGUGGCUUGUAUCGACCCGAGCCGUGCCGGAGCUAACGCGUUAAGUAUCCCGCCUGGGGAGUACGCACGCAAGUGUGAAACUCAAAGGAAUUGACGGGGGCCCGCACAAGCGGUGGAGUAUGUGGUUUAAUUCGAUGCAACGCGAAGAACCUUACCAAGACUUGACAUGUCGCGAAUCCUCUUGAAAGGGAGGAGUGCCUUCGGGAGCGCGAACACAGGUGGUGCAUGGCUGUCGUCAGCUCGUGUCGUGAGAUGUUGGGUUAAGUCCCGCAACGAGCGCAACCCUCGUUUUUAGUUGCCAGCAUUAAGUUGGGCACUCUAGAGAGACUGCCGGUGACAAACCGGAGGAAGGUGGGGAUGACGUCAAGUCAGCAUGCCCCUUACGUCUUGGGCUACACACGUACUACAAUGCUACGGACAAAGGGCAGCUACACAGCGAUGUGAUGCAAAUCUCAGAAACCGUAGCUCAGUUCAGAUCGAAGCUUGCAACUCAGCUUCGUGAAGGAGGAAUCGCUAGUAAUUGCAGGUCAGCAUACUGCAGUGAAUUCGUUCCCGGGCCUUGUACACACCGCCCGUCACACCAUGGAAGCUGGUCACGCCCGAAGUCAUUACCUCAACCCUUCGGGGAGGGGGAUGCCUAAGGUAGGACUGGUGACUGGGGUGAAGUCGUAACAAGGUAGCCGUACCGGAAGGUGUGGCUGGAUCACCUCCUU
This 1162-nucleotide ribosomal RNA is filed under the name Nostoc sp. MS1B-PS. RNAcentral describes it as "bacterial SSU rRNA". It matches the Rfam family "Bacterial small subunit ribosomal RNA", at positions 356 to 1532 of the family's 1533-position model. RNAcentral also lists the same sequence under 1 other name. The record is from RNAcentral. Lineage: Bacteria; Bacillati; Cyanobacteriota; Cyanophyceae; Nostocales; Nostocaceae.